UGAUAGCUGUGAAGCGAGAGGUUGUUGCCUGUCAGCAAUGGCAAGCAGGUUUUCCGUGGAGCGAAUGUCAAGUUAGAAAACUGACGACAA
RNAcentral lists this non-coding RNA (90 nucleotides) under uncultured Acetatifactor sp. RNAcentral's name for it is "S10-Clostridia ribosomal protein leader". It matches the Rfam family "S10-Clostridia ribosomal protein leader". The record is from RNAcentral. Lineage: Bacteria; Bacillati; Bacillota; Clostridia; Lachnospirales; Lachnospiraceae.